GUCGAGAAUCUUUCACAAUGGGGGCAACCCUGAUGGAGCGACGCCGCGUGGAGGAUAAGGUCUUCGGAUUGUAAACUCCUGUCAUGCGUGAACAAGGUUGCUUGGUUAAUACCUGGGCAAAUUGAUGGUAACGCAAGAGGAAGAGACGGCUAACUCUGUGCCAGCAGCCGCGGUAAUACAGAGGUCUCAAGCGUUGUUCGGAAUCACUGGGCGUAAAGGGUGCGUAGGUGGCGUGGUAAGUCAGAGGUGAAAGCCCGGGGCUCAACCUCGGAACUGCAUCCGAUACUGCCAUGCUAGAGUACUGGAGAGGUGACUAGAAUUCUCGGUGUAGCAGUGAAAUGCGUAGAUAUCGAGAGGAAUACCAAAGGCGUAGGCAGGUCACUGGACAGUUACUGACACUGAGGCACGAAGGCCAGGGGAGCGAACGGGAUUAGAUACCCCGGUAGUCC
This 449-nucleotide ribosomal RNA is filed under the name uncultured bacterium. Its description in RNAcentral is "partial 16S ribosomal RNA". It matches the Rfam family "Bacterial small subunit ribosomal RNA", at positions 354 to 796 of the family's 1533-position model. The record is from RNAcentral.